UCUGUAAAAAACUUAAAUACCAGUUGCGACCAGUAAAAGAGCUUACAUUAUAUCACAGAAUAUAAAAUUACAAAAAUUAAAGUCAAUCCCAAAGUAUCUGUUAAUGAAAAAAAAAAAGGUUUUAUUCUGGAAACAUGUAUUCAUUCACAUAAUCUUUAUCUCAUUCCCAUACUUGUUGAAUUUUUCAGACUGUUUACUCAUAAAUUAUGAUAUCAUGUUAUCUUCUUGGAAAAUACCAUUAUGCAGAAUUGUAUUUCCAAGAAAGCGGCGGUUCUCUAGAAAUACCUCUAGUCAUGGCAAACUAAGUUCAGAAAUGAUAUUCUUUAAUGUCAGUUAGGUUUAUGAUUUAAAUGAGAUUUUCAUGUGCCAGUAAUAAUGUAACAUAACAUUUUAUAUUACAGACAUAAGACCGUACAAGUGUCACUACUGCGAUUAUUAUGCACGGACAAACAGUCAGCUAAAAGUUCAUAUGAUGCGGCAUCAAGGUAUUCGAGAGUUUUGUUGCAAGCUGUGUAACUAUAAGGGUGUGACACAGUCUGACCUGAACCGACACAUGAAAUCCCAGAUUCACAUGCUGAAGUCACGAAAUGCAUGCACGUAUUGUGGCGAAGGGUUCGUGACCACGAAAAAUCUUGAGAAACAUCUGGAUGGCAACUGUAUAGUGAAGAUGCAGAAACUGCAUGGGGGUCUAGACCUACCUCUACAAGAAAGAGUAGCUUAGAUAAACCCAAAGUCACCUCUGUGAAACAAAGAUGUGGCGAUUUUUAUCUUUACCCAAAAAAAGAGUGAAAUUUAAGAUUGACCAAAACUACCUCUAAAUGAAGAGUAUCUUUUAAAAUAAGAUAACUCAUGUAAGAAAGGAUGGGUAGCUUAGGUUGUAUAUUGUAAAUCUGUUGAUAUUUUAGAUGUUUUUAAUGUCUACCUCCGUAAUUAGGAGAUUUUUUUGCUAUGACGAUGUGAGUUAACAGGUGGGGAUUUUAUUAUUUUUAUUAUAACUACCUCUGACCAAAAGAACUUACUUUAGAGAAUUGCAAAAGAUUUAUUUUUGCUAAAUCUACCUCCAAGUAACAUGCAUACAAAAGAAUUUACUCCCAUCACUUGUCUUGAAUAUUCACACAUCAGCCUGGUUAGCCAACAGUUUCUUUUGUUUAAAAUGAUAGCUUUAACAUUUUAUAUAAAUCUUUGAUAGUAAUUUACAAACAUAUUAUUCACUUAAUAUAAGUUUUUUUUAUUUUUUUAGAGUUUGUUUUGGGAAAAUUCUACAUACAAGGAGAUGUAAAGGUUUUCCUAGAAAAAAAGAAAAGUGUUUCCCUGAUUAAAGGGAAUGCAUUCCCUGUAUUUGUUAAAAAAGUUGAAAAAUAUGUAUAGAAGAAAAUAUGUUUAUAAUGUUUUUUUAUAUAUAUUAGAAUUAUUGUUAUGUUUGUAUAGAUUUUGAAUUUUUGCAAGUAUUUUCUUUUUCUGAUGAGGUUUUUUUUUUGUUUGUGAUAAUUGUCUUUUUAUGUACAUGUAUGCUUUUUUGUGAAUUUUAUUCAUUAAGUAUGAAUUCCAUUCUUAAAUCAUUCCAACAGUUUCCUUCGAUUAGUGAUGAUGUUACAGAUUUCAUUGUUGAAGUUAUUGUUUUGCUUCAGAUAAAAAUUUUAUAACUUUAUUUGUAUCAAUCUUGUGUCUGCUUGAGGCAACGGAUUCUACCCGUGGGACCAGUGUAGGUCAGCCGGCAAAUCUUUACUCUCUGAUAAUGGGGUGCAUCAUUUGCUUUCCAGUAAUUUUUUAGAAAUUUUGCUUAGAAAUAAUAAAUGGUAUUGUCCAUAUUAAAAGAUGGACAAGUUCAUUUUAAGAUAUAUAGCAUGUUAAAGGAUUAAUAUAAAUUGUUAUCUUGUUAAAUUAGAAAAGAGAAUAUUGGAAUCCCUAAAGAAAGUACAGAAUGGCAAAAUUGAAAAUGUUGCAGGCACGGUUUAAUUGAGUCUGUUCAUGGAUAGUACUGUCAAGUGCAAACUACCAUCCACGCCCCCUAGCACCGGCUUAUGAAGAAUUCAACAUUUAAACAUAAAAAUUGUGAAUUUUUUUAAUUUAAAAACAUUCGCAGAUGAGUUGAUACAGCCACAUUAUUAAAGAUAGAACAAAUUUCAAGUGAAACUUUAUUUUACUAGCUAUAUGGGGACAUAGAUUGUUUUAUAAAAGUAGAAUGUUAAUGUUAUUGAAAAAAGCUCUAUACUUAUUUAAUAAUACAUUUUUGCUCAGUGCUUUUUACACUUAAAAUUUUGUUAUUAAAUAUGUUGUGAGAGGUGUAAAAAUAUAAGUCUGAAAAAGUUAUUACAAAAUAAGCUAAUUUUAUAUCACUGAAGCCUAUAUUUGAAUCUAAAAACGGGUAUUGUUUUAUUUUCAUUUUUUAGAAAAGACAAUACUGGUAAUAUAAUAAUGCUGUCCCCCAUCCAUCAUCAAUAUGAAAGGUGUAAUGUUUUAUAAGUGUUGAAUGUUGAACAAUCUGUCUGACAGUUUGUUUGGUCGGUACAUUGCUCAUCUCUGCUCAUUAUUCAGAGAACAUCAUGUAUUUGAGAUAGACAUGAGGUCAAAGGUUACAAUGUUUUCAACUUAUUACUGGUAAAGUAUUAUGUUUGCACAUCCAGAAGUGGGAGGGGGUUGGAGUGGAUGGGGCAGUUCAGUUGUCAACAUUUGGCAUCUCUUGUUAAAAUUUGUGUUUAGUGAACUACAAUGUAUAGCAGAAUUCCCUAUAUUCAGAUUUUAUAUAUUAAAAGAAUUAUUGAGAGUUUUACUCCUUAACUGUGCCUAAGAGAUUAUAAUAUACUGGUAAGUAAACUGUUAAUCUACCUCAAUGUAACAA
Molecule: long non-coding RNA, 2839 nt
Organism: Ruditapes philippinarum (Manila clam)
Lineage: Eukaryota; Metazoa; Mollusca; Bivalvia; Venerida; Veneridae
Exons: 2
Source: RefSeq, a predicted model, not a curated record